Molecule: non-coding RNA, 261 nt
Organism: Vicia faba (fava bean)
Lineage: Eukaryota; Viridiplantae; Streptophyta; Magnoliopsida; Fabales; Fabaceae
Source: the annotation of a GenBank genome assembly
AUGAAGGAAAAAAAGUUUAAUUCAAGGAAUUUUUGCUGUCUUCUCAUCUUGUCCGUUAAAACUGAACUGAGUAAAUCUUUCCAUUACAGGAUGCAUGGGUCUUAUAUCGUUGCAUUACUUGAGCAGAUACUUGGAAAGGAUAAAGCUGACGAAGUUGCAGGUCCACUGGUAUGGUACAUCACGAGUCAGGUGUUCCUAAAUCCAAUGUUGCAUGCAUUGAUGUUGGAUGUGAUAUUACCACCAAACACACCUUUACGUUAA